CUCUCUCAUUUGGAGCCAGCUCCCAGUUUGAAUUCAAGAUGCAGAUGUCUUCUCUACUUUUAAAAUUAGACCCAACACUUUUUGAAGGCACUUUGUGAUAAAUGUUAUAUUUAAGGCUGGAUCACAUGAUCCUGAACCAUCCCUUUAUUAUGCUAAUAUAGGCCCAGAAUGCUCCAUCACAAUGUGAUACUCUUACUUGUUGGCAUCUUAAGCAGGACAAUCAGAGGAAGAACUGACAGUUAGGCAAGGAUCCCAGGGAGCAGAGGGAGAUUUGGCAAAGAGUGAGCAGGCAGCUUUCAGGAAAGAUGGCAAAAGACGAGAUGUAAACAACCCGGAUGGAAGCAGAUUUUCUUCAGCGGGCUUCAUCUUGCAAGGAACAGUUCCAGGAAUCCACAGAUAAGGAAGACAACAUCCCAAAAUGAACAAUGGGAAAGCCACUUUUUCACUGGAGAAAUGACAACUUCAACAGGGGUGAAGAAACAAGUGGUUGCAUGUGCAGUAGUGGUCUACUGUACACAAAGCAGUCCAGUUGCUCAAGAUUACAUCUUUACUUCAGAAGGAAGACCAAAAACUCUAUGGGGCUUUAAACGUGGGUUAAAGUUCAAAUCAUGAUGCAGUUCCUCUCAAAUUUUAACAUUGAAGGGGAUACAAAAACAUGACAAACCGAUCAGAUCAGAUGAAUAUUUUUAUAAGGAAAUCCCAUUAAAAGGCCAAAUUAUUCAUGCUUUGUUUUGCUGACGGUUGCUAAUUUUUCCUCAGACCUCCAACAUUUUAAUGGAGACAUGAGAGUAAGUCGGUUUUCCGUUAUAUAAGAUCUUACAGAGUAUGUAAAGUGCUUGAGUGCUGUAAAGAGCACUAUAGAAGCCAAGUAAAAUGUAUUACUCUUGCAGUUCUUUUCCUUUAUGCUGUGGAUUUGAUUCAAGCCUCGAUUAAGUUGAUCUGAAGAUGUUUCUACUAAGCACCUCCCCGCCAUUACCAGCUUUUAUGAUGAGCAUUGAUUCUGAGGCAUGGUGCUUCCUCUCUGCUUACUGUAACAGUUUCAAAGGAUGGUUAACGGCUUACAGUAUCUGCACUCCACCAAUACCGCACUCUGCUGCCCAUAAUUACCAAUCUUUCAAGUAAGCAGAUCUGCACUGUGCCUCAUAAUCAGUUCUGCACUGUAAAGAUCCACGAUAAUAUAAACUUGUGGCCGGCGAUGCGACGGAGAAAUUGCACAGGAGCCGGGGUAUUGAUUUCAUUCAUCUCCGCUGGUGCUGGGACUUGUAAACAGGUGUCUGCUGAUUCUGUUAUGGAGUUGUAGCACGCUUUGCAGGUAAUGCAGUGGAAGAAUAACGCGAGGAGACACAUCAAGGUCACCUUCCCUUUCAGCAGUUACCACAGAGGUGCAUCUUAACUGCCUCGCUGUCCCCGCGGCCAGCUGUGCAGCGCUGGUUGCAGUGGCCAGGUGUGAAUGAAUGUGAAGUGGCUGUGUGAGUGUGAACCAGACCGUGGCUGAUAGAAAACAUGUGCACCUUGAAAAACUUUCCCUGGCGAGUAGCAUGGUAAAGGAGCAUUUUAAACAUCAAUAUAUCACUGUCAGGGUAAUUACAAACACUUGGUGUAAUUACCAUUAGCAAAUGAGACCACAGAGGAGACAACUGUCUGCAACUCACACCUGCAGAGGUGUUGAUGAUGCUGGUCUUUUUAAAAAAGCUGCAGAGAGUUCACAACUGAUAUUUAGAUAUAAUUGCAGCUAAUUUUCAUAAUCAAUUCAUGUAUCUAUUUUUUUCAUUUACUGGUAUUUGAAAAAGGGGGCUGAAAAAAGGGCCAUAACAAUUUCCCAGAGUAAUCAAUUUCUAUUUUUUGUCCAAAACCCAGCCCUGUUUAAUUCCUGAGAAAUAAAAGCAGGAAACUCUGAAACCGCAGUAGCUAGAAGUAGCAAAUGUCAUGCACCUGGUAAGUGUGCAGUUGAUCAAAAGAAAGCAAAUCAUCUAAUUGUCUCAGAGCUGGUUCUUGAGAAGCAGACAAGCAGAAUAAAUGUGUUUUUGCUCAUAUCGGGAAGAAUAUAUGACGUUUAUGAUCCUUUCACUUUAAAAACAAACGUGACUCUCUGUGAGAACAUGAAUGCUCAUCAGUCUGCCAGUCUUGUCCAUUUAAUUACAUCUGAAUGUUUAUUAAACUUGCAUGUCAACUGAAAUUAAUGAUGUCAUGUUACUAGCCUGAAAUAUUUAUGCACUUUAUCUUUAAUCAUUAUUUAAUUGAUCUUCUCUAUUAGUUGUAAUUUAUGCACAUAUGCUCCAUCGUGCUGCUAUUUAUCUUGUUAUCUUGUUGUGAUGCUCGCUGCAGAUAUCCAGAGAUGUCCUUUUAGUAUUCUUCUCUCUGCCCUCGGUGUUUCCUCAUAUUCAUAUAAAUAAGUUCUACACUGCAGCAGUUGAGAACAAUAGCAGACCGCAGGCACACAAUCAUGUACAGUAGUAUA
This is a long non-coding RNA of Oreochromis niloticus (Nile tilapia), 2458 nucleotides long. RefSeq lists it as uncharacterized. The transcript is spliced from 3 exons. Lineage: Eukaryota; Metazoa; Chordata; Actinopteri; Cichliformes; Cichlidae. The record is from RefSeq and is a predicted model, not a curated record.